Molecule: ribosomal RNA, 429 nt
Filed under: Bacteroidota bacterium
Lineage: Bacteria; Pseudomonadati; Bacteroidota
Description: Bacteroidetes bacterium partial 16S ribosomal RNA
Rfam family: Bacterial small subunit ribosomal RNA
Source: RNAcentral
UAGGGAAUCUUCGGCAAUGGGGGGAACCCUGACCGAGCAACGCCGCGUGAGUGAAGAAGGUUUUCGGAUCGUAAAGCCCUGUUGUUAAGGAAGAACGAGUGUGAGAAUGGAAAGUUCAUACCGUGACGGUACUUAACCAGAAAGGGACGGCUAACUACGUGCCAGCAGCCGCGGUAAUACGUAGGUCCCGAGCGUUGUCCGGAUUUAUUGGGCGUAAAGCGAGCGCAGGCGGUUAGAUAAGUCUGAAGUUAAAGGCAGUGGCUCAACCAUUGUAGGCUUUGCAAACUGUUUAACUUGAGUGCAGAAGGGGAGAGUGGAAUUCCAUUUCUAGCGGUGAAAUGCGUAGAUCUAUGGAGGAACACCGGUGGCGAAAGCGGCUCUCUGGUCUGUAUCUGACGCUGAGGCUCGAAAGCGUGUGUAGCGAACAUG